GGGCUGUCUUGCAUGGAAUAAAAAAAACCUGCGAGAUGAUCCAAAUAAGCAUUCUUAGUGGUAGCUCACCAGCAAGCAGAAAGGUAACGCCUCUGUGGAGAGGGCGCUGUCAGCUGUGCGCCCGUGCAACGGGAACCAGUUCUAGGCGGCUGUCACUGCACUGCUCUCUGGAGACUCAGAUGCAGACUCAAAGCAGGCCAUUACAUGAAUGUAUCCUGUCAGCCCACAGAGCUUUAACCCCAUGCAUCCAUGUGCAGCUCGUCGCCUCCUACUCUAACCCUGUCAGAAACACCGCCUGCUUAGGAAAGACCAGGACUAGAAAAGGCCGAUGUGAAGCGAUCCGAGGUGGAGCUGUGCAUCCAGGCUGAGUCUGAGGAAGAAAACAUGGAACCCGGAGCCGAGACUCUGGCUGUCCUUGGCAAAUGCAUCUCUAUAAAGGCAGAAGCUCCCACCGUCCUGUGUCCACCUUUCCUGCCUUCCUCUUCCUCCAAGUGCCUCAGCCACUCUCACACUCCUCCCCUCCCCAAGUCUGUCUGGGUCUUAAUGCCCUUCACGAUUAAACAUCACCAGCCUCCUGCUGUUCACCACCGCCAACACGAUGUGUCUUUCUGAGUAACCUCCCCCAUCACUAAAAACAUGUCUUUCCUCGACUUCUUCAAGUCUCCACCAUCCAUCUCUGUUACCUUACCAGACUGAUCACAGCAUCAAGUGUGCCCUGUCCACCCCGUGCUGUGUAGACCGUCUUCCCCAGCUGCCACAAUACCUUGCUGUCCUCUACCUCAUCCCCAGAGAGCCUGUAUGCUCAGAGCGCCCACCCCCUGGGCUCAUUCUCUGCUGUCAGUAAUACUAUCCAUAUCCUAAACAAAUCAUAAAACCUUUGCCUUCUAUCAAAGUAGAAACCUUUAUAUUUAUACGUGAUACAGAAAUUGAACUAUUUCUACCAUGCAGAAUUUAACAUUUAGCAGGAACUCAGAGUGAGUGAAUUGCUAGCCUAACUUGGUCUGUAUUAGAGGAUGAGUACUGGUGAUAGGCCCAGUCGCUUGAAUGUAGAGUUAAAAUUCCCCAACAGUCCACAUUAAUCCAUAACUCUUCAGUGGACAGGAGGUUCCUGGCAGACAAGUGAGGUAGUAUUUUAGACAAAAGUUUUUUUGGUGGUGUUUGGGCCUUAAAACACAUUUCUCAUAGAGGACAUCCAAUGAAAGGUGUUUUAGAAGGUCAGAUUGGAUCAUACUAGCCUGUUUGAUGUAUAAUGUAGAUUUAAAAUCCCACAAAACUGGGUACAUCCAAAUUUGACUUGAUUAAGCUUCUAACCCCAACCCUCCCUAUUCCUAGUGGGAGAAAACUUACCUUAUGAGAUAAGGAGGAGAGUGUUGGCUUGAGUCUCAACUUCCCCUGACCGCUCUUCCUGGAUGUCCAAAUAGCGUCAUUAAGGAAGAAAACAUGGUUCAGGGGCGGGAAUGCAGUUUCUCCCCUCCAGCCAGGCUGCCAACAGGAGAUACACAUUCACACGUAGAUGGCCGGCUGCCCUGUUUGGGAGCGUAGGCCUGAGAUCUCUAGUGGUCUUCAGAUGUGUCCAUCUCAAGCAUAAACGCCCCAGCCUGACAGUGCCCAAUUAAUGCAUUUAAAGACCGAGAGUGUAGCAGGGGCUUAGUUAGCCAGUGACUUGGCCACUGAAAGGGACACAGCAUAAGGUGUUCACUUAGCUUUAACUAAAUUAGGACUGCAGUGCCAUGAUGGCCAGAACCGAAAGGGUAAAGGAGUGUCUGUUCUGAAUGUGUGUGGAAGCCUUGAGGUGACCCAGCCUGAGCUGUAAAGUAACUUAUAGAACGAGCACCCCACUUUACAGUUCAUAGGACCCCAAACAUUAGACAUGGGAGUAUGAUAAAUAUAAUUUUGGUAUGUAAAAUUUUGCUAAAACUGUCUAUUUCUUACUCAAGGUAACCUCUUAAAAUGAAUGUAUCCUUUUUCUAGAGUGUUAGAGAGAGUCUAUGGUCUUUAGUGUUAAAAUGUUGCUCACAGGUACCACUGAGUUAAUUGGACACAGUAUAUUCAGAAGAAAUCUGAUUUCCUAAUUGAUCUUCACAAACUUUAACUGGCUCUCCCAGUCUGUAAAAGGACAAAAGGUAGAAUGAAGGAAGUGUAUCAGCUGGGUGGCCGAGGAUUUUUCUUUUCUAAAGCAGAGACCAUCUCUUCCCUGAUUCUCACUGGUUUCCCAAAGUAGAGCCUGAGUUAAUGGUGCCCUGACCACCAAGGAUGGUGAUCUACAUCUAGUGCACACAUUUCCUUUGCAUUUGGAUGUCUCUGCGAGAGAGGAAGUAGGAUUUUUCCUUCCUCUUCACAUUUACUCUUUUUACCCAAAGCAAGAUGAACAUUGGAAGCAAAUCCCAGGCCACCUGGCGGCAUCUUUCUAUGAAUUGAACGGGCACACGCACAGUCUGGUCAAGGUGAAUGAGAUGAGAACCCUGUUAGGUCACCUGGGAAACCUGGCCUUGCCGCUUGGCUCAGCUCCUGCAAACCAGAAAGAAGCGUUGUUCCUCGUCGUGAAAGAACUGGAUGUAGCCUUUAACUCAUGAAAUAGGAGUUGAACUUGAAAGCCCUUCUGAAUCCUGAUUGUGCAGGGCAGCCGCAUAGUGAAUGUACACAUGAAGACCGUAGCUGAAGUGCACAAGUCAGACACCAACUUCAUGACCUUCCAUAGAGACAUUGUCUCCUUACGUUGUGAGUGACAUAUGUAGCAUGCUGUGAAGCACCUGUUCUAGUUCCUAACUCAUCAGUAUUAAUACGGAGUUACCCUUGUGUUCCUUGGUACUUUAUAUUCAAUGUAAUCAGAAGCUGUGAUGUAUCCCCUUCCUAGUCCCGGGCUUUGUUGCUGUAAAUUUCCUUAUGAAGCACGUGACUUUGGACUCAUGUAAGGUGGAUGCUCUUGAAGACUGCUAUACACACACACACACACACACACACACACACACACACACACACACACACGUCUCUUAUUGUAGAUGGUUUUGAGUUAGAAUAAGCUUUUCUCCAGUAGACCAUUGAUGCAGUUUACGGUCCACACUGUCAGGUGGCAGCCUCCUCUUGAUAGGUUCAACUCUGAAAAUAGCAAGCUUUAUGAACAGCCACUUCACCCUUGUUCUAGCAAAGCAGACCCUGCUGUAAAUGUAGGCUAUGGUGGUUACCCAUAAUGCCCUCCACAUGCAUCAGCAGUUAUGGAGAUGACAGAACCCAUGAGAGCUUCUUGUAUGUAUAAGUAGGCUUGAUUUUUGUUGUUAUGUUGCUGGUUUGGCAGUUUGACUAAAGCUGACCCAAAUGGGCCAGCUCGUGUAGUACUCUAGUGGUUUAACGCCUCUCUUCUCGUUCUGCGGCUGUCCUUUUGUUUUUCGAGGGAUGGGUAAUAUUAUUUGAACAGAUAAAGAAGGAACUGUUAAUGAAUCAAGACAAACACACCUGAAAUAAAGGAGCUGUGUAUUAACAUGUUAACAAUUCAUAACUGCACUUUCUAUGACAUUUUGAAAAUCUAUUUAUAGGUACAGAACAAUGGGUUUUGUUAAACUGUAUCACGUUUAUACCUGCAGAAUUUAUUUCAUUGUUAUUAGUAGGAAUUUUAUUGGUUCAAUAAAAUUGGCAAAAUUGA
Molecule: long non-coding RNA, 3637 nt
Filed under: Rattus norvegicus (Norway rat)
Lineage: Eukaryota; Metazoa; Chordata; Mammalia; Rodentia; Muridae
Description: long non-coding RNA NONRATT027428
Source: RNAcentral